GGAGGUUUAGCUCAGCUGGGAGAGCACCUGCCUUACAAGCAGGGGGUCAGCGGUUCGAACCCGUUAACCUCCA
Molecule: transfer RNA, 73 nt
Organism: Vagococcus lutrae LBD1
Lineage: Bacteria; Bacillati; Bacillota; Bacilli; Lactobacillales; Enterococcaceae
Rfam family: tRNA
About the family: Transfer RNA (tRNA) molecules are approximately 80 nucleotides in length.
Source: Rfam